UACGAAUGGGGCAAGCGUUGUUCGGAAGUACUGGGCGUAAAGCGCACGUAGGCGGAUUGGAAAGUUGGGGGUGAAAUCCCAGGGCUCAACCCUGGAACGGCCUCCAAAACUCCCAGUCUAGAGUUCGAGAGAGGUGAGUGGAAUUCCGAGUGUAGAGGUGAAAUUCGUAGAUAUUCGGAGGAACACCAGUGGCGAAGGCG
Molecule: ribosomal RNA, 200 nt
Filed under: uncultured bacterium
Lineage: Bacteria
Description: partial 16S ribosomal RNA
Rfam family: Bacterial small subunit ribosomal RNA
Source: RNAcentral